This 803-nucleotide ribosomal RNA is filed under the name uncultured archaeon. Its description in RNAcentral is "bacterial SSU rRNA". It matches the Rfam family "Bacterial small subunit ribosomal RNA", at positions 102 to 924 of the family's 1533-position model. The record is from RNAcentral.
ACUGCUCAGUAACACGUGAGUGACCUGUCCUUGGGUGGGGGACAACAGUCCGAAAGGAUUGCUAAUACCGCAUAAGUCCUCUGGAGUAGAUUCUAGAGGGGAAAGGUAUUUCGCCCGUGGAGGGGCUCGCGGCCCAUCAGGUAGUUGGUGAGGUAAUGGCCCACCAAGCCGAUGACGGGUAGCUGGUCUGAGAGGAUGGCCAGCCAGACUGGGACUGAGACACGGCCCAGACUCCUACGGGAGGCAGCAGUUAGGAAUCUUGCGCAAUGGGGGCAACCCUGACGCAGCGACGCCGCGUGGGCGAAGAAGGCCUUCGGGUCGUAAAGCCCUUUUCCGAGGGACGAUAAUGACGGUACCUCGGGAAUAAGCCCCGGCUUACUACGUGCCAGCAGCCGCGGUAAUACGUAGGGGGCGAGCGUUGUCCGGAUUUACUGGGCGUAAAGAGCGCGCAGGCGGCUUCGUAAGUUGGCUGUGAAAUCUCCCGGCUCAACCGGGAGGGGUCAGUCGAAACUGCGAGGCUUGAAGGCGGUAGGGGGAGAUGGAAUUCCCGGUGUAGUGGUGAAAUGCGUAGAUAUCGGGAGGAACACCGAUGGCGAAAGCGAUCUCCUGGGCCGUUCUUGACGCUGAGGCGCGAAAGCGUGGGGAGCGAACUGAAUUAGAUACUCAGGUAGUCCACGCCCUAAACGAUGGACACUAGGUGUGGGGGGCAUCGACCCCUCCCGUGCCGCAGCUAACGCAAUAAGUGUCCCGCCUGGGGAGUACGGCCGCAAGGCUAAAACUCAAAGGAAUUGGCGGGGGAGCAC